AUAAUCAUGGAGUAUAAUAAUUAAAUUUAAUAAAUUUAAUAUAACUAUUAAUAGAAUUAGGUUACUAAUAAAUUAAUAACAAUUAAUUUUAAAACCUAAAGGUAAACCUUUAUAUUAAUAAUGUUAUUUUUUAUUAUAUUUAUAAUAAGAAUAAUUAUUAAUAAUAAUAAACUAAGUGAACUGAAACAUCUAAGUAACUUAAGGAUAAGAAAUCAACAGAGAUAUUAUGAGUAUUGGUGAGAGAAAAUAAUAAAGGUCUAAUAAGUAUUAUGUGAAAAAAAUGUAAGAAAAUAGGAUAACAAAUUCUAAGACUAAAUACUAUUAAUAAGUAUAGUAAGUACCGUAAGGGAAAGUAUGAAAAUGAUUAUUUUAUAAGCAAUCAUGAAUAUAUUAUAUUAUAUUAAUGAUGUACCUUUUGUAUAAUGGGUCAGCAAGUAAUUAAUAUUAGUAAAACAAUAAGUUAUAAAUAAAUAGAAUAAUAUAUAUAUAUAUAAAAAUAUAUUAAAAUAUUUAAUUAAUAUUAAUUGACCCGAAAGCAAACGAUCUAACUAUGAUAAGAUGGAUAAACGAUCGAACAGGUUGAUGUUGCAAUAUCAUCUGAUUAAUUGUGGUUAGUAGUGAAAGACAAAUCUGGUUUGCAGAUAGCUGGUUUUCUAUGAAAUAUAUGUAAGUAUAGCCUUUAUAAAUAAUAAUUAUUAUAUAAUAUUAUAUUAAUAUUAUAUAAAGAAUGGUACAGCAAUUAAUAUAUAUUAGGGAACUAUUAAAGUUUUAUUAAUAAUAUUAAAUCUCGAAAUAUUUAAUUAUAUAUAAUAAAGAGUCAGAUUAUGUGCGAUAAGGUAAAUAAUCUAAAGGGAAACAGCCCAGAUUAAGAUAUAAAGUUCCUAAUAAAUAAUAAGUGAAAUAAAUAUUAAAAUAUUAUAAUAUAAUCAGUUAAUGGGUUUGACAAUAACCAUUUUUUAAUGAACAUGUAACAAUGCACUGAUUUAUAAUAAAUAAAAAAAAUAAUAUUUAAAAUCAAAUAUAUAUAUAUUUGUUAAUAGAUAAUAUACGGAUCUUAAUAAUAAGAAUUAUUUAAUUCCUAAUAUGGAAUAUUAUAUUUUUAUAAUAAAAAUAUAAAUACUGAAUAUCUAAAUAUUAUUAUUACUUUUUUUUUUAAUAAUAAUAAUAUGGUAAUAGAACAUUUAAUGAUAAUAUAUAUUAGUUAUUAAUUAAUAUAUGUAUUAAUUAAAUAGAGAAUGCUGACAUGAGUAACGAAAAAAAGGUAUAAACCUUUUCACCUAAAACAUAAGGUUUAACUAUAAAAGUACGGCCCCUAAUUAAAUUAAUAAGAAUAUAAAUAUAUUUAAGAUGGGAUAAUCUAUAUUAAUAAAAAUUUAUCUUAAAAUAUAUAUAUUAUUAAUAAUUAUAUUAAUAAUAUAUAUAAUUAUAUUAUAUAUUUUUUUAUUAUAUAAUAUAAACUAAUAAAGAUCAGGAAAUAAUUAAUGUAUACCGUAAUGUAGACCGACUCAGGUAUGUAAGUAGAGAAUAUGAAGGUGAAUUAGAUAAUUAAAGGGAAGGAACUCGGCAAAGAUAGCUCAUAAGUUAGUCAAUAAAGAGUAAUAAGAACAAAGUUGUACAACUGUUUACUAAAAACACCGCACUUUGCAGAAACGAUAAGUUUAAGUAUAAGGUGUGAACUCUGCUCCAUGCUUAAUAUAUAAAUAAAAUUAUUUAACGAUAAUUUUAUUAAAUUUAGGUAAAUAGCAGCCUUAUUAUGAGGGUUAUAAUGUAGCGAAAUUCCUUGGCCUAUAAUUGAGGUCCCGCAUGAAUGACGUAAUGAUACAACAACUGUCUCCCCUUUAAGCUAAGUGAAAUUGAAAUCGUAGUGAAGAUGCUAUGUACCUUCAGCAAGACGGAAAGACCCUAUGCAGCUUUACUGUAAUUAGAUAGAUCGAAUUAUUGUUUAUUAUAUUCAGCAUAUUAAGUAAUCCUAUUAUUAGGUAAUCGUUUAGAUAUUAAUGAGAUACUUAUUAUAAUAUAAUGAUAAUUCUAAUCUUAUAAAUAAUUAUUAUUAUUAUUAUUAAUAAUAAUAAUAUGCUUUCAAGCAUAGUGAUAAAACAUAUUUAUAUGAUAAUCACUUUACUUAAUAGAUAUAAUUCUUAAGUAAUAUAUAAUAUAUAUUUUAUAUAUAUUAUAUAUAAUAUAAGAGACAAUCUCUAAUUGGUAGUUUUGAUGGGGCGUCAUUAUCAGCAAAAGUAUCUGAAUAAGUCCAUAAAUAAAUAUAUAAAAUUAUUGAAUAAAAAAAUAAUAUAUAUUAUAUAUAUUAAUUAUAAAUUGAAAUAUGUUUAUAUAAAUUUAUAUUUAUUGAAUAUAUUUUAGUAAUAGAUAAAAAUAUGUACAGUAAAAUUGUAAGGAAAACAAUAAUAACUUUCUCCUCUCUCGGUGGGGGUUCACACCUAUUUUUAAUAGGUGUUCACCCCUCUUCGGGGUUCCGGUUCCCUUUCGGGUCCCGGAACUUAAAUAAAAAUAAUUAUGGAAAGAAUUAAAUUAAUAUAAUGGUAUAACUGUGCGAUAAUUGUAACACAAACGAGUGAAACAAGUACGUAAGUAUGGCAUAAUGAACAAAUAACACUGAUUGUAAAGGUUAUUGAUAACGAAUAAAAGUUACGCUAGGGAUAACAGGGUAAUAUAACGAAAGAGUAGAUAUUGUAAGUUAUGUUUGCCACCUCGAUGUCGACUCAACAUUUCCUCUUGGUUGUAAAAGCUAAGAAGGGUUUGACUGUUCGUCAAUUAAAAUGUUACGUGAGUUGGGUUAAAUACGAUGUGAAUCAGUAUGGUUCCUAUCUGCUGAAGGAAAUAUUAUCAAAUUAAAUCUCAUUAUUAGUACGCAAGGACCAUAAUGAAUCAACCCAUGGUGUAUCUAUUGAUAAUAAUAUAAUAUAUUUAAUAAAAAUAAUACUUUAUUAAUAUAUUAUCUAUAUUAGUUUAUAUUUUAAUUAUAUAUUAUCAUAGUAGAUAAGCUAAGUUGAUAAUAAAUAAAUAUUGAAUACAUAUUAAAUAUGAAGUUGUUUUAAUAAGAUAAUUAAUCUGAUAAUUUUAUACUAAAAUUAAUAAUUAUAGGUUUUAUAUAUUAUUUAUAAAUAAAUAUAUUAUAAUAAUAAUAAUUAUUAUUAUUAAUAAAAAAUAU
Molecule: ribosomal RNA, 3166 nt
Filed under: Saccharomyces cerevisiae (brewer's yeast)
Lineage: Eukaryota; Fungi; Ascomycota; Saccharomycetes; Saccharomycetales; Saccharomycetaceae
Description: LSU rRNA
Rfam family: Bacterial large subunit ribosomal RNA
Source: RNAcentral